UACAGAGGGGGCAAGCGUUGUUCGGAAUUACUGGGCGUAAAGGGCGCGUAGGCGGCCUUCUAAGUCAGACGUGAAAUCCCCGGGCUCAACCCGGGAACUGCGUCUGAGACUGAAAGGCUCGAAUCCGGGAGAGGGAUGCGGAAUUCCAGGUGUAGCGGUGAAAUGCGUAGAUAUCUGGAGGAACACCGGUGGCGAAGGCGGCAUCCUGGAUCGGCAUUGACGCUGAGGCGCGAAAGCCAGGGGAGCAAACGGG
RNAcentral lists this ribosomal RNA (253 nucleotides) under uncultured bacterium. Its description in RNAcentral is "partial 16S ribosomal RNA". It matches the Rfam family "Bacterial small subunit ribosomal RNA", at positions 524 to 776 of the family's 1533-position model. The record is from RNAcentral.